Molecule: long non-coding RNA, 10320 nt
Filed under: Lathyrus oleraceus (garden pea)
Lineage: Eukaryota; Viridiplantae; Streptophyta; Magnoliopsida; Fabales; Fabaceae
Description: Pisum sativum (pea) long non-coding RNA (PSAT_LNC009364)
Source: RNAcentral
CUUUGAAGAGCCACAAGAAUCUGAACAAGGAGAGGGACGCAGGUACAGAGACAGACAUCAAAAGGUUAACCGAUUCAGAGAGGGUGAUAUCAUUGCAGUUCCUACUGGUAUUGUAUUUUGGAUGUACAACGACCAAGACACUCCAGUUAUUGCCGUCUCUCUUACUGACAUUAGAAGCUCCAAUAACCAGCUUGAUCAGAUGCCUAGGGUGAGCACUGAGCAUAAUUAAACUUCCCAUAUAAGAUAAUAUGUUGUCCAAAACAGUAACAUAGAUUCUAUCUAUCUAUGUUUGACAGAGAUUCUAUCUUGCUGGGAACCACGAGCAAGAGUUUCUACGAUACCAGCAUCAACAAGGAGGAAAGCAAGAACAAGAAAAUGAAGGCAACAACAUUUUCAGUGGCUUCAAGAGGGAUUUCUUGGAAGAUGCUUUCAACGUGAACAGGCAUAUAGUAGACAGACUUCAAGGCAGGAAUGAAGACGAAGAGAAGGGAGCCAUUGUCAAAGUGAAAGGUGGACUCAGCAUCAUAAGCCCACCCGAGAAGCAAGCGCGCCACCAGAGAGGCAGCAGACAAGAGGAAGAUGAAGAUGAAGAGAAGCAGCCGCGCCACCAGAGAGGCAGCAGACAAGAGGAAGAGGAAGAUGAAGAUGAAGAGAGGCAGCCGCGUCAUCAAAGGAGAAGAGGAGAGGAGGAAGAAGAAGACAAGAAAGAGCGCCGCGGCAGCCAAAAAGGCAAAAGCAGAAGGCAAGGAGACAAUGGGCUUGAGGAAACAGUUUGCACUGCUAAACUUCGAUUGAACAUUGGCCCGUCUUCAUCACCAGACAUCUACAACCCUGAAGCUGGUAGAAUCAAAACUGUUACCAGCCUGGACCUCCCAGUUCUCAGGUGGCUCAAACUAAGUGCUGAGCAUGGAUCUCUCCACAAAGUAUGUUUUUUCAUAUUUUAAUUUGUUUUUCCAUGAAUCAAUUUCAUGUCGAACUAUGUGCUAACUCAUUACAAUCUUCAUACAGAAUGCUAUGUUUGUGCCUCACUACAACCUGAAUGCAAACAGUAUAAUAUACGCAUUGAAGGGACGUGCAAGGCUACAAGUAGUGAACUGCAAUGGCAACACCGUGUUUGAUGGAGAGCUAGAAGCCGGACGUGCAUUGACAGUGCCACAAAACUAUGCUGUGGCUGCAAAGUCACUAAGCGACAGGUUCUCAUAUGUAGCAUUCAAGACCAAUGAUAGAGCUGGUAUUGCAAGACUUGCAGGGACAUCAUCAGUUAUAAAUAAUCUGCCGUUGGAUGUGGUUGCAGCUACAUUCAACCUGCAGAGGAAUGAGGCAAGGCAGCUCAAGUCCAACAAUCCCUUCAAAUUUCUAGUUCCAGCUCGUCAGUCUGAGAACAGAGCUUCGGCUUAGAUUUCGCACCAAAUCAAUGAAAGUAAUGAAUAAGAAAACUAAGGCUUAGAUGCCUUUGUUACUUGUGUAAAAUAACUCGAGUCAUGUACCUUUUUGCGGAAACAGAAUAAAUAAAAGGUAAAAUUUCAGUGCUCUAUGCUUUUCUACUCCAAGUUAUAACCAGAUGAUAUAUAACAAUCACAAUAAAUAAAUGUGAGUAAAAAAAUAUUGAAGAAAAAUGAUGUAUUGGAAUUAUAACUAGCCGGACUGGAUUUAAGGAGUUACAAUGAAAUUUUUUGAGAUAGCUUGGAGGAUGUUUGAUUCUAGUAGAUUUUUUCACACUGUUAUGGGUAUUUUAAAUAUAAAUAAUGUGGGUAAUAAUAGGGAUGCAUAUUAGAGUUGGAGUCAUAAAUGUAACUGGGGAUCCAUGAAGGAAUCAUAAAAAAAGAACAGCAUCAUCAUCAGUGGCAUAGUGAGUGACAUUGGAAGCAAAUGAAGUGACAUUAUCAUUGUGAUACUUAUAAGGAAAAAUAUCCGCUUAAAAAAACAUGUCUAGAAAUGAAUGUGCUAUCCAGAUACAUGUCAUAAAGAUCAUAAACCUCAGGUUUACAUCAGACAAAAAUCCACUUCCUAACUCUAGGGUCAAGCUUAUCCCUUCUUAGCAUCAAGGUGUUGGCAAAGGAUAAGCAACAAACACUUUUAGAUCAAUAAAAGUAGGUGAAGAUUGAAACAAAAUCUCAUAGGUAGUUAUGUUGUUUAUCACAUGAGAAAAGGCAAUUUAUUAAUGCCGAGAGUGACAUGGCAUAAAGCAAAAGACCAAAACCGUUUUGAAAGUCUUGAGGGAAAAAGCAAAGAUCUAAUAACAUUCAAUAGGUGUCUAUGUUUUCUCUCAACAACAGAAUUUAUUGUGAAGUUUCUACACAAUUCUGAUGUAAAAUGCUGAAGGAGAUAUAAAAGGAAGACAUAUUAAGUUACACUCCAUUAUCACUUUGUAGAAACAAAUUUAACAAAAACUAGAAAUGCAAGAUUUAGUGCCAAACUUAUUUUUCAUAAAGAUUGCUCAAGUAAAUUUAGAAAAUGUUGUCAACAAUAGUAAAGGAAAAUUGAUAAUUUUUAAGGAAAUGUUGAUAAUAGACCCCAAAUGUCCAUUUGUAUGAGAUCAACACAUUUUAAAGAUACCUGAACACUAGUAGGAGAAGGUAAUUUUGUUGGUUAGAAAAAUGACAAUGAUCACAAAUGAUGCUCUUAUUAGAUUAUAUGUAUUUAAAAUUCUUAAAAAGUUGUUCUAAAACAAUGUGAGAACAUAAAGCAUAUACUCUAACACGGACACAAGCAAGUGUGUGAAUCCGAUAAAUAUGUUUUAUCGAAGUCUGGUGUGUUUGUAGGAUUUGGAUAUUAUAAUAAUGGUAUGUUUAUGAUGAAUUUGAAUGGAGUUCCUAAUGAUUCUGGUUCUGUAUUUAUGUCCUUCGAAGUUAAUCAAUUCUAUCGUUAUGGGCAUGCCUCGUCUAGGACACGUACAUUAUAAAAGAAUGCAUGAAAUGUCUAAAGAUGAUUUAAUUCCUGUUUUGAUAAAAAUGUAGAAAAUUGUAAAACUUGCAUGUUAACAAAGAUCACUAGGCAACUUUUAAAAGUAUAACAAGGAAAUCUGUCAUUCUUGAGUUGAUACACUAUAGUGAUUUAUGUGAUUUGCAUGCUACUCCAUCAUUAGGACAUAAAAAAUAUUUUGUCACUUUCAUAGAUGAUGCAUCUAGAUUCUGCUAUGUUUAUUUGCUGCAACGCUAAGGACGAAUCCUUAGAUAAAUUCCAAAAUUUAUAAAACUGAAGUUGAAGUGCAACAUAAUGUGUUGAUUAAAACAUUACGUACAAGAUAGAGUGAUGAAUAUUAUGAUCUGUGAUUUUUCCAAUCCGUAGGAAUCAUUCAUGAGACUACGGCACCUUAACACCAUCAACAAAAUGGUGUGGCUGAAAGGAAAAUAGAGUGUUUAGAAAAUGGUGAAUGCCAUGUUAUCUUACUCUGGUUUGAGUGAAAGGUUUUGGGGAGAAGCUAUGUUAACGGCUUGCUAUUUGUUAAAUAGGGUUCCCUAAUAAAAGGAACAAAGACUACCCCAUAUGAACUUUGGUAUAAAGAAACGAUCCAACUUAACAUUUUCUACGUGUUGGGGUGUAGGGCCGUGUUAGACUCCCGGACCCAAAAAGGAAAACUUUGGAUGAAAAGGGUGUAGCUUGCAUCUUUGUUGGAUAUGCUGAGCACUCCAAGCCUAUAGGUUUUAUGUUAUAGAACCUAAUGACUCGACUUCUAUUAACAUAAUUAUAGAAUCGAGAGAUGCAUAUUUGAUGAGAUUGGUUUCUCUCUAUACCUAGACCAAAGGACUCUAUACCUAAUUGCAGAUGAAUCUCUAAGGGAUGAAUCAUUCAAAUGAUGUCCCAAGUGAGACACUUGAACGCCCGUAGGAGGCAAAAGAGCUAGAAAAUCUAGAUCUUAUGGAUCUGAUUUUCAACUAUUUAGUUGAGGGAUCAAAGGAUCACGAUUGACACUCAUAACUAUUAUUGCCUAUAGUAAUAGAGGAGGAUCAAAGAACGUAGAUGAAGCUGUGAAAUCUUCGUAGAUUUCUGGCUUUUUUGGAAAGAAGCAAUUGACGAAGCGAUUGGUUCUAUCAUGAAAAUAAUAACUUGGGUAUUAUCUGAUUUACACCAGGUUGCAAAACCAUUGGUUUGCAAUGGAUCUUCAAAAAGAAAGAUGAAAGUCGAUUGGUACAAUGACAAUUACAGCUAGAUUAAGUUAUCCAAGGCUUCAGAGAAAAGGAGAGGAUUGAUAUUUCGAUACCUAUGCUCGCUGUUUGCCCGUAUCACUAACUAUUAGAUUGUUGAUUGCCUUGGCGGCUCAUUCAUAAUCUAGUGAUUCAUCCAAAUGGAUGUAAAACAUACAUUUCUGAAUGGUGAUUUUGGAGGAAGAAGUGUAAUAUAGCGCAAACCUGAAGGAUUUGUAAUGCCUGGUAAUGAGCCAUACAAGUGUGUAAGCUAGUUAAGAUUCGUUGUAUGGGCGUGAAACAAGGCUCCGCAGCAGUGGCAUCAAAAGUUUGAUAUGAGGUUGUUAUUGUCUAAAUGGUUUCAUUCAAAACCAAGCUGACAAAUGUGUGUAUAGCAAAUUUGAUACUUCCGGUAAAGGAGUUUUCAUUGUUUAUAUGUUGAAUGACAUGUUGAUCAUUUGGCACCUGACCAAAAUUCAAGGUGAUAAAACGAAGAAUUUCUAUAUCAAUAGUCUCCAUAGAGGAUAAUGGGAGAAGCGACGUUAUUGCUUGGUAUUAAGAUUAACGGAGGAAUAAGGGGAUUGUAAUUACGCAAUCAAUUACAUUGAGCAAAAUACUCUAAGAAGUUUAAUUUGAUAAAAGUUGUUCUCCGGAUAAAGGUCUCGCCAUGGAUCCGGGAGAAAAGCUUAAUGACCAAAUACAGGUAAACACUGUGGGAUCAACUCGACUAUUCAAAAGCUAUAGGCUCUUUGAUGUAUGCUAAUGAAUUAACAACUAAGACCGGCAUAUUGGCAUAUGCGGUUGGAAAGUUGACAGAUUUACAGUAAUACCAGUAGACAUCAUUGGCAUGCGAUAACUAGGGUAUCAGUUAUUUGAGGGUAACAAUGAAUUAUGGAUUGUCCAUAUAAUGGGAUUUCCUUCGUGUAGAGGUUAUUCGGAUGCUAGUUGGAUAAAUAAUGCCUGAAGAAUUCAUCCUCUACAAGUGGAUGGGUGUUCUUGCUUGGGGGAGGGUGCCUCGUCAUGGCUUCAAGAAGCAAACAUGUAUAACUGGUUCCACAAUGAAUACUGAAGUUUCUGUAGGCAUUAGCUGCUGUGGUAAAGAAGGGAAUGGCUAAGAAUUUUGUAAUAUAGAAUUCCGAUAUGGCCUAAACCGUAUCAACCAAAUUUCUAUCCGUUUGUGAUAGUACGCCAACAUUGACUAAAAGCUUGAACGUCCAAAUUUACAAUGGAAGUCCUAGACAUUUUGGGUGUUUAGACAUAGUAUGAUUAGGGAAUUAAUCAUGAAUAGGGGUGAUUCGUAUUGUGAGUUUGUUCGGUUCGCGAACAAAACUAUAGCUGACACUUGACGAAGGGGUUUAGCUAGAGACUUAGUGAAGAAGUCGGUAUUGGGAAUGGGAUUAAAGUAUCCAUUUAAAUCUAUUUAAGCUAUGGUAUAACCCAAUUCCCCUUCUAAUACAACAUUAGAAGCAGAAUCAAUGUGGAGAGAUCACUGUUAAGAAUUGGAGCAAUUGUCCUUAUCUUCCAGGUAUGUGUCAGAACCCUGCAAAGUGAUGGCUGGUUGAAUUAAUAUCUCUUAAUGGUUUUCUUGGAAAAUUGCAAAAUGCAUGUGCAAAGAUUAAAAAGAAUCACCUAUGUGAGCAUGAUUUGCCGCUUCAAGAGCUGGACUUGUUCCUAUAUGCUUAAUUAAUGGAUAAGGACACAUGGCUUGUAAAGUGUCAAGUAAUGGGAAAUAGUAGAGUAUUGUAAGAAAGCAUAUGUGUACUAUAUCUUCAGACACCUCAAAGGAUUGACGGGUUCAAUCGCUAGACACCUCGAUUUUCGAGUAUUUGGAAUGUGUAAAUUUGUACGUAAGAUAAAAUUCAAUCGCAAGACAAUUUCAAUUUAUGCAUUUGUUUGAUCGUUAUACCUGUGUGUAUAGCCCUUGUAAUAUAUUAUUGCAAUGAUACUAGAGUAAAUCAAGGAUACACUAAAUGGGGGGAUUGUUGUGAUUUUAGUAUCAUCAAUGUUAUUUUAGUAAGUAAUGUGAUUUACUACAGGGCGAUGCAAUUAAUGCGUUAAAGCUUGGAAAAUGAGUUGGGAUAGUGCGGAGUGCACAGCUCGUCGAGCCAAAACGUAUAAGUGAAUGCGAAAAUAAUUGAAACUGGUUCCAAGGGGAGAAGCCGCUGACGGGGUGUGGGGCAGGCGCCCCGUUCGAAAUUUUCUUGAAUCAGUUGAAUCCUUUCCCCAACCGACGUAACCGGUUUCCUGAACAGUUGCGUCCUUUUCGUUCUGUUAUUGAUCUCCCCAUAAUAAGGAGUCAAUUUGGCCCUCAGUUUAAAAAAAGAGAAUAUACGAACCAAACUUUCUCUCUACAUUCCUGAAACAUUUUUUCUUUUCGCAGAAACAAAUUGUUUCUUCAAGAUUAUCCCCAGCAAAGAUUAUCGUGAACCCCAGGCAAGAAUAGGGUUCGAAAUUACUUUUUUCGGAAAAGUGGUACGAACACGCUUCUUCGAAGUUUAUCCAGGAUUAUCAUACCCGAUUAUCUAACAGAAAAGUUGUCAACAAUAGUAAGCGAAAACUUGAUAAUUUUUAAGGAAAUGUUGAUAAUAGACCCCCAAAUGUCCAUUUGUAAAUGAAGUCAUCAACACUUUUUUAAAUGAGUACCUGAACACUAGUAGGAAGAAGGUAAUUUUGUGUUGGUUUAGAAAAAAUGACAAUGGAUCACAAAUGAUCUCUUAUUAGAUUAUAAUGUAUUUAAAAUUCUUAAAAACCAAUUGUUCUAAAACAAUGUGAGAAAACAUAAAGCAUAUACUUCUAACACGGACAACUGAUAAUGACAUGAGACAUGUCGCGAACACUAUUGAUAUAAAAACAUAUACUGACACUAUAUAUAUUAUAUAUAUAUAUAUAUUAUAUAUAUAUAUAUAUAUAUAUUAUAUAUAAUUAUAUAUAUAUAAUAUAUAUAUAUAUAAUAUUAUAUAUAUUAUUACAAUUAAAUAAAUAAAUAUUAUUUAUAAAGUCUAAAUUAAGAAUCAAAAUAUAUACAUAGACAUCUAAAGUUGAGAAAUUUAUUUAUCCAUCUACUAUAAAAAAAUGUUUAAAAUAUUUAAGUAUCUUUAAAUCCUCCAUGAUUACGCAUUUUUUCCACGUCUUCCAUUUCUAUAUCUAUGUGUUCAAGAAGUGAUAAAGUAUUGAAAACAAAGAGGAUAAAUUUGUACAUCAAGCUCUGCCAUAGUCAUGAGACAGCAGAAUGAACGAAAGUAAAUCACGAAAUGGUUCAUAACAUUGACUUCAAUAAAUGGUGCCAGUGCUUAAUACAGUUAAUUCAAGAAUCGACUCCAGAGUUACCAAGAACACUCGACCGGAAAACCCAGUCUGACCAUGAGAAGUUUGUUCGACCGAAACGAUGACCAGGAACACCAAGUGCUGCGAACCAAUACCCAGGGUGGUCCAACGGUCUCGACCGUUUGUGUUAGCAAUAGAAAUCCAGAUCCCGACAUGUGUCAAGGAAGGUUCAACAAGAUGCAAUGGCUGGGGAACAAAAUUUAUAGGCCAUUGUCGAAUGAAUCAUGGUUCGAAAUGGGGUAAACCCAAGCCUUCAAAGGCCAACGUAUCCGUCUCCAUUACCAAACUUUGUUUUACAAACAAAACUACCUUAGGGAUGGAAGGUUCCAAAGUUCACCAAGUUCACUGGAGACACUAAAGAGUCCACUGUGGAACAUGUUUCUAGAUAUCAAACAAAAGCUGGUGACAUAGAAACAAUGAGGACUUGAAAAUGAAAUAUUUCCCAAGUUCCCUCACAAAGAACGCGUUCACUUGGUUUACGAUGCUACUUCCACAAUCCGUCCAUACGUGGAAGCAAUUAGAGAGAUUGUUCCAUGAACAGUUCUAUAUGGGACUUUUGAAAAUAAGUUUGAAAGAACUGGCCAGCGUCAAACGAAAGACCUCUGAGGCAAUCGAUCAAUAUCUUAACAGGUUUAGACUUUUAAAAACAAGAUGAUUUACUCAAGUCCCUCAGCACGAAUUAGUCUAAAUAGACGCAAGCGGUUUAGACUAUUCUAUCAGGAAAAAGUUAGACACACAAUAUCUUAAGGAUAUGGCACAAUUAGCUGAUAGAGUUCGAAAGAUCGAACGCUUGAAAGUUAAAAAAACCAAAAUUGAUAGAUACCAUAAGAAAUAGAAAGUGUUUUAUGUAGCAGCUGACGAAUACUCUUCUGACGAUGAAGAGCUUGUCGACGAAAGCGAAGUCAACGUGGCUGAGCUCAAGCCAGGACCUCCUUACACGUGUAAAUUGUUGAAACCAUCAAACGGGAAAAGUCCCAUCGAAAUGGAGAAAACGGAUCAAUACGUUGCUAAAACUUACACUUUCGAUGUGUUUAAAUGUGACGAGAUAUUUGAUUUAUUAGUUAGAGAUGGUCAAAUUAUUAUUCCUCAAGGUUUAAAAGAUCCUUGAUCGGGAAAAUAGCAAGUGUACUAUUUUGCUGAUGUAGUAAUAAGAGGAAUGUUUCCCAAAGAUCGAUCUCGAGGAUUGCGCAGCAAUAUAUGAGUAAACAAUCACUCAAUUGAAUAAAAAGUAAUAGUUUGGGUUUUGUAAAAUUCACUGUAAGGAGAAAUAAAAUAAAUAAAUAUUUUCACAGAUUAUAAUGAUAUGCCAAAGAUGGUGUAUGAAAAUCUCUUGUAAUGACCCUUGAGUGUAUAUCUCCUUAAUAAUGAAAAUUGUUUCAAUUACCAGAUCUUAAGAUUGUUUUCCUCUAAGACCUCGGAGGAAAACAUUUGGUAUUCAAUCUAACCUCUAAGUCCUUAGGUGAUUAUGAUGAAACCAAGUCAUUUUAAUUUAACAAAAAUAAACCAGUAACCAUAGGGUUCCCUAGUCCUAGGUGAUAUCUAUCAAAACCUUAACAAUUGCAAUCCUAUUAAUCGUUAACCAUACACCAAUCUUAAUUUUUCUGAUAAAGAAGCAUUACACAGAUUACACAGUGAAAUUGAUAACAAAUAACAUAUAUUAAGGAAAAUCUAACAUCAGAGUCAUUACAUGAUCAAUUCAGGGACACCCCCUGGCAUUGGGGGGUUUAGCCUCUCAUAUUAUUCAAAUUAGAUACAAGAUAAAAUUGAGACAUUACAUAAAGAUCGGAAUCCCGUUGAUCUUCAAUCGCGUCCGCUCUUGAAGGAUCUCCGUUCUUCUUCGCUUUCCACUGCUUCAAUCUUGAUCGUCUCUAAUUUUUGAUCGUGUAAAAAGUCCCUCUCUUCAUAUUCAAAUCCCCUGUAAAUAGUUCCUGAUGACAAUUUUUAUCUAGCAAAAGUCCAAAAUACCCUCCGACAUAAGCCGUGCCAAAAACAACACAAAACUGGAAAAUCAAGUGUCCAAGCCAACACUGGCCGUGUCAGGCAACACGACAGGCCGUGUUGGGCUUCUGGUGCAAACAGGCUUGACACACCCCUUCAGGGAGGCUGACAAGGGCACCUGUGUCAGCUCCCUGUUUUUCCUUUUCCAAGUGUCUUCUCCUGACACGGCUUGUGUUGGGCAACACGGGUGGUCGUGUCAAGACUACUGUACUGUUCAAUUUUCUUCUUCCGACGGGCCCAGAACGUCUGAUUUGCUUAUCUAUCCCUCCGGUACACUUGCUUACACCUGAAAUCAAUAGAACUACCAUAAAGGGACAUAAAAUGGAGUAUGAUGAUGCAUAUAACAUGUAAUCAACAACUGGAAACAACAAUACAAAACUUCUAAAUUACUAAACAAAACAAUAAAAUAAGUGGACUAAUGUGUUACCGACUUCGUACAAAGGUGCCGAAUGAGUGUCAGAAAACAAGUAAAAUUGGAGACUGAUCACAACCCCAAACUUAUCUCAUUGCUUGUCCUAAAGUGAUGCUCGAGACAUCAGGACGGAUACCCCCAAAUUUCGCAUCCACAAUGCUACUGCGAUCUUUCACGAUCUCCUGUUCACUUUUCAAUCACAGUUUUACUCUUUCCCGAUUUCCGACUUCAACUACACUUUCCCUUUGACGCAUCUUUUGGCCUGUAGCUUUUCACACUCUCACCAAAUCUCUCGGGAUCAAAGUGUUUACACUCAAGAAAAAUAGAGCAUGCAAAGUCAACUCUUAAGUUUGAAAUACAUAUACCUUCAUAACAAGGAACACACAACACAAACAAUUCGAGGAUUUUUUGGGUUAUAGCGGGGCUAGGGUGUAAGAUGGUGAGUCAACACACAAAAAAAAA